RNAcentral lists this ribosomal RNA (510 nucleotides) under uncultured bacterium. Its description in RNAcentral is "partial 16S ribosomal RNA". It matches the Rfam family "Bacterial small subunit ribosomal RNA", at positions 28 to 507 of the family's 1533-position model. The record is from RNAcentral.
GACGAACGCUGGCGGCGUGCUUAACACAUGCAAGUCGAACGAAGAGCGAUGGAAGCUUGCUUCUAUCAAUCUUAGUGGCGAACGGGUGAGUAACGCGUAAUCAACCUGCCCUUCAGAGGGGGACAACAGUUGGAAACGACUGCUAAUACCGCAUACGAUCUAAUCUCGGCAUCGAGGAUAGAUGAAAGGUGGCCUCUACAUGUAAGCUAUCACUGAAGGAGGGGGUUGCGUCUGAUUAGCUAGUUGGAGGGGUAACGGCCCACCAAGGCGAUGAUCAGUAGCCGGUCUGAGAGGAUGAACGGCCACAUUGGGACUGAGACACGGCCCAGACUCCUACGGGAGGCAGCAGUGGGGAAUCUUCCGCAAUGGACGAAAGUCUGACGGAGCAACGCCGCGUGAGCGAUGACGGCCUUCGGGUUGUAAAGCUCUGUUAAUCGGGACGAAAGGCCUUCUUGCGAAUAGUGAGAAGGAUUGACGGUACCGGAAUAGAAAGCCACGGCUAACUACGUG